Molecule: long non-coding RNA, 2167 nt
Organism: Schistocerca nitens (vagrant locust)
Lineage: Eukaryota; Metazoa; Arthropoda; Insecta; Orthoptera; Acrididae
Exons: 3
Source: RefSeq, a predicted model, not a curated record
CGUGAUAUAAGCAGCCAUUUGCAGGGAAACAGUGCGCAAAUAUGGUUCGUUCGUGUGCUGCUUUUAAUUGUAACAGUAAGAACGGAAGCAAAGACGAAGACGGAAACAGUAUUACAUUUCACAGGUUUCCUCUUACAAAUGAUUUUAUAAAUCGGAAAUGAAUAGCUCCUACUCGGAGAGAGAACUUCCAACCGACAGCAAAUCAUUUGCUGUGCUCCCUUCAUUUUGAAGAGAAUUGUUACAUGGAAAAUUAUGUAAAUAGACGUCAACUGAAGGUCGAUGCUAUACCGACAGUAUUUGGAUUUGCAACUCAUUUGAAAAAGGUUACCAAGGCAAGGAAACAGCCAAAGCCAAUAAAUGUUGAGACAGCAGAAAACGUGUGUGUGGAUGUGCACGUUUCUGGUUACACUGGAGACCAUAAAUUAUUCAUUUCCAUCAAGUCCAAGUAAGCUGAAGGAAAAGUUCGAAAAAAUUGAAGAAAGGAAAAAUUGGGCAAUAUAAGACUAAGUUAAAAACAGUGAACAAAAAGUGCAAAAGACAAACGCAGAAUAUUUGCAAAUUAGCAAAUAUUUUAGAAGAACUAAAAGCUAAAAACUUAGUAAACGAUAAAGUAAUCUCGCGUAUUAACGCUACUCACAGUGACAUGUUAUUGGAGAUGGUCAUUACAAUGUUGUAAAUGUCAGUGUGUUAGCUGUUACUUGUGAUGGACUUUCCACUAAUAUUGCAAUGGCAAAGGAGUUAGGGGCAAAUAUAAUCGUACUGCCUACUACUUUAAAAGUUUCAUGUAAUUAUCUAAUGCAAGUAACUCGAUGUAAACUCGCUCCACCUUGUCUGGAAAGAGCCUUACAUUCUUAAAUUUCGCAUCUCUAUGCAUACGUAUUUCGGAAAUUAAGAAACCUGAUUUAAGUAUACUUUUAAAAUAGACUCGAAUACUCAGUAUUUUUUUAAACAAACAUGUAUUUAAUUUGUGCUUGAAUUUACUCUUGUUGCGUCUCAUAUACUUCAAAUAACAACCCCAGUACUAGGAUACAUCCCUGCAAAUGGCGGCGAUCAGCUGCUUCAAUUGGGGGACAGUUGCCUCGCUUCUCCGCUACGGCGUGGUAGGGGCUCGCAUAUGACUCGCAUUACAAGCAGCGUGCUGUUAUUGAAUUCUUGUGAACAUCUAUGACCAUUUGUGCGCAGUGUAUUUGGCAAGAGUACAGGUGGGCGACAGGUAAAGAAAGUUACAGCCUCAGAAAAUAUAGAAUUAGAGCACCAUGAUCAGCCACAUUUGGGACGCCCUGUCACAGCCACUGCUCCAGACAUGCUGAAUCGUACGGGUGCCAUCAUUCGUGCCGACAGGAAUAUCACAACUCGACAACUGGGUCUACGGUUGUCGGUCAGCAUUGGGAAUGCGUCUGCAAUGAUCAAGACUCUCGGAUAUCCAAAGAGGUGCUGACGAUGGGUUCCACGAAUGCUCACAGCGGACCUCAAAAUUCAAAGAAAGACGAUUUCAUCUGAAUUGUUAGAGCGUUUCGAGACCGACAGAGAGGGCUUUCUGUCAUGGAUCGUGCCUGUCAUGCAGUGAAAACAUGGACAAGAGCUUUUACCAGCAGGAAUACAUGCUCUUCCACAGCGCUGGCGUACGGCCAUAGAACGUGAUAAGAGACUACGUAGAAAUAUAGGGCAUGGACAAGACAUGUUGAUAUAUAUUGACAUCAAAUUCUGACUCUUAACUAUAAAUAUGUUUUGAGAAAAAAAAUGUGGGGCGUUACUUAUUGAACGAUCCUUGUACUUGGACUGUAGGCGCGAUCGCGUUGCCAAGGUCUUGGCGAGCUUCUAGUAUAAAAGCAGUCAGUACGAUGGUGUCGUUCUUACAGUGAUAGUACAUUUGAAGUUGGCGUGACUUUUACAUUAAGUGCAGCAUUGUGCAAGUACAGUUUCAUCAAUUAAUACCAUCCUGGAUUCGAAUAAAUCUCACUUCAAAAGACGUCUUGUAGAGUUUUAUCUGUCAUUCCGAUAGAUGGUUGAAUUGCAGUGACUUGUGUAAUACAAGGAGCAACAGAAUGACAAGUAGUUGUGUACACGGAACCGCGACAUCCAGGGUAGGCGAUUUGUGCACUAGACUCUUUCUUAAAGCAGUGUUUGUGAACGAGCAGUGAACAUUACAUUACACCGUACUACAGGC